AUCUAAAUAGUUUAUUAAAAAUAUUGAUUUGUGAUAUCAAAGAUAUAGUAGUAUUUUAGAUU
This 62-nucleotide transfer RNA is filed under the name Mimastra limbata. Its description in RNAcentral is "tRNA-His". RNAcentral also lists the same sequence under 1 other name. The record is from RNAcentral. Lineage: Eukaryota; Metazoa; Arthropoda; Insecta; Coleoptera; Chrysomelidae.